RNAcentral lists this ribosomal RNA (225 nucleotides) under uncultured eukaryote. RNAcentral describes it as "partial 18S ribosomal RNA". It matches the Rfam family "Eukaryotic small subunit ribosomal RNA", at positions 1208 to 1456 of the family's 1831-position model. The record is from RNAcentral.
GGAAAUCUCACCAGGCCCGGACACUGGAAGGAUUGACAGAUUGAUAGCUCUUUCUUCAGUGGGUGGUGGUGCAUGGCCGUUCUUAGUUGGUUGAGUGAUUUGUCUUGUUAAUUCCGAUAACGAACGAGACUCUGUCCUGCUAAAAAGUGUCUGCUUCUCUUUUGAGCAGACAAUUCUUCUUAGAGGGACUAUCGGAUUCAAACCGAUGGAAGUGUGAGGCAAUAA